RNAcentral lists this ribosomal RNA (395 nucleotides) under uncultured bacterium. RNAcentral describes it as "bacterial SSU rRNA". It matches the Rfam family "Bacterial small subunit ribosomal RNA", at positions 136 to 518 of the family's 1533-position model. The record is from RNAcentral.
GGCCGGGAUAGCCCAGGGAAACCUGGAUUAAUACCGGAUGAGACGGGACCCGCGAUGGCGGGACCCGGGAAGGCGCUGCGGCGCCGCCGGGGGAUGAGUCUGCGUCCCAUUAGCUAGACGGCGGGGUAACGGCCCACCGUGGCGACGAUGGGUAGCCGGCCUGAGAGGGUGGACGGCCACAUUGGAACUGAGACACGGUCCAGACUCCUACGGGAGGCAGCAGCUAAGAAUCUUCCGCAAUGGGCGAAAGCCUGACGGAGCGACGCCCGCGUGAACGAAGAAGGCCGUGAGGUUGUAAAGUUCUUUUCGGGAGGGGGAACAACCGUGGCAGGGAAUGGCCGCGGGAUGACGUGAAUCCCGGAAUAAGCCCCGGCUAACUACGUGCCAGCAGCUGC